This is a long non-coding RNA of Perca flavescens (yellow perch), 1638 nucleotides long. RefSeq lists it as uncharacterized. The transcript is spliced from 4 exons. Lineage: Eukaryota; Metazoa; Chordata; Actinopteri; Perciformes; Percidae. The record is from RefSeq and is a predicted model, not a curated record.
GCAUGCGCAUCGAUUAGCAAUAACACCACAUAUGGUAAAAAAUAGAUCAGCGAGACCGUUGUGCAUACCUACUGUAUAUGACUAACGUUAAAUAUAUAUUUGAAUCUGUUUAUACGGUCUGCAUAACUUUAGCCCGCUAGCUUGGUUAGCACGGUGCAAUCUAGCUAGCUAACUGAUAUUAAUUGGGAUGCUAACGAAAAACAGUAUUUAAAAAAAUGGAACGUUACUUACCGGAAAAACUGAACUGCAUACUCCUUUGAGUGUCUUGUUGUCAGGGGCGAAUCUACCGGGGUGGCAUAGGGUGGCAUUUGCCACCCCUGCUGCCACCCCAGUUGGCAGCAACGAAUUAAAAGUUUUGGCCAAUUUGACAAUUUACGAGUGUGAAUCUCCAAUGUCCGACUGCGGUGAAUGCAGCAAGAGAUUACGCCAGAGCGGCAAGAGACUGUUUUGUUUGGAAAACUGUCUAUGGGAAAACUGAGUGGCGCAAAGAGAGGGAGCCAGGAGUCGCAAUGAAAGGAGACACAGGAGGAAAGAGGUCAAAACGGAUUAACUAUCAAGAAAUAAAAUUAUAACGAAAGCACAGUGCUAGCAUAGUUGCGAUGCUGAUUUUGAGAUGAUAAAAAUCAGGUUGAAGAACGUUAUUUCGCUAACUAUACAAAUGUUAGUUAGGUCUGACAUUUGGUCUGUGUAAAGCAGGCUACAAAAGCUAAUAUUGAUUCAACGUCUGUCAAGGAAAACAUUGUUACUUUUAAUCUUACAGAAAUGAAGAGGAAAGGUAGAAUAUGUAGUUUUUCUCUCCAAAGAGAAAGGCGAGAGAAAUAGAAAAUGAACAAGUGAGCAAGGUAGACUGAGAAGAUGAGGUGGAAGGAGAGAGAGAAGGGCCACAGAAACGUGACAGAGACAGAAUACAAGACCAAGGCGACCAGGGACAGGAGGAGGUGGGAGAAGACCACAGCGGUGAAGAUAUGGAGGGAGAGCAUCACCAAGAUGAGGAGGGAGAAAGACGUGCAGGGCUCAGACAGUGAAAGGGAAAGCAGAGUGCCUGGGCCAUCACCAACAAUCUCCUGUCGAGCCGGUCCACAUGCUACGUUGCUGACACAACAGUGAAGAGACAGCCAAGCCAGUUGAGAUUGCGUGUGUGCAUCCUUGAGAAGUGUCUUUCAAUGCUCGAGAUCCUGCAGCCGCGGACGGACUCUGCUGCACCGCUAUAGCUUCUCUCUGUCCACCGGCAAAGGCAAUGGAACUUCCCGCCGAAAUCGACGUACAGGUCGUCCUGGACUACGUGGAAGAUCCUCCCGAUCACCACUCUGUCUUUGGCCGGUCCCAUCUGGAUCAGCUGGAACCGGCGCAGCAGCGAGGCGAAGCGGUGUUCCUGCCCAGGGAAGAGACGCAGCCGCCGGCCACGGAACUCUCCACCUCCCGCUGCCGCCCUUCAAGAGAGCCUUAAAGAAAAACAUCCUGACCAGCCAAAUCACCCGUAAAGAUGCUGAGAAGGCGGUCUCCGAGUGGCUCAUUGGUGCUAGGGACCGGGGGGGUAAUAGACAGGCCCGACAGGCAACCCCUCAACAAGGACUUCAGGCUUCAGGCUCAUUUGAGGUGGAAAGGAAAAUAUCUAAUUGUGAUUAUUUUGACUGAUAU